This 545-nucleotide ribosomal RNA is filed under the name Escherichia coli. RNAcentral's name for it is "partial 23S ribosomal RNA". It matches the Rfam family "Bacterial large subunit ribosomal RNA", at positions 1 to 585 of the family's 2925-position model. The record is from RNAcentral. Lineage: Bacteria; Pseudomonadati; Pseudomonadota; Gammaproteobacteria; Enterobacterales; Enterobacteriaceae.
GGUUAAGCGACUAAGCGUACACGGUGGAUGCCCUGGCAGUCAGAGGCGAUGAAGGACGUGCUAAUCUGCGAUAAGCGUCGGUAAGGUGAUAUGAACCGUUAUAACCGGCGAUUUCCGAAUGGGGAAACCCAGUGUGUUUCGACACACUAUCAUUAACUGAAUCCAUAGGUUAAUGAGGCGAACCGGGAGAACUGAAACAUCUAAGUACCCCGAGGAAAAGAAAUCAACCGAGAUUCCCCCAGUAGCGGCGAGCGAACGGGGAGCAGCCCAGAGCCUGAAUCAGUGUGUGUGUUAGUGGAAGCGUCUGGAAAGGCGCGCGAUACAGGGUGACAGCCCCGUACACAAAAAUGCACAUACUGUGAGCUCGAUGAGUAGGGCGGGACACGUGGUAUCCUGUCUGAAUAUGGGGGGACCAUCCUCCAAGGCUAAAUACUCCUGACUGACCGAUAGUGAACCAGUACCGUGAGGGAAAGGCGAAAAGAACCCCGGCGAGGGGAGUGAAAAAGAACCUGAAACCGUGUACGUACAAGCAGUGGGAGCACGCU